AGGCCGGGUUAGCUUGUAGAUAGCAAACAUCGUCGAGAACUAUAAUUGGCCAUACUACUUCAAAAACUCUCAAUUUCUCUCUAUAAGCUAGGGGUUUUGGUGAAAAUUCUCCCCAAUAAGCUCACCAAGGUUCCAACGAGACCCCACAUCUCCAUUUGGAGCAAUAGUUGAAGUUGGAGUUGAUCAAAGAAUCAACAAAGAUAGAGUCGGAGGUAGUUGGGACCUAGAUUGAGGUGUCCAUGUGUAUUCGUCUUUUGGUAGGUUCCAUGGCAUUCAGUAGUUGUACCUUCACCCAAAGUCACUCUGCUGAUAGUCAAGAGUCUUUUGCCUGUGUAUACGUACUCGUGAUGUAAAUCACUAAGAUUCAUAGUAUAAACAAUAUAUGUAUAUUUUGAUUGAUGAUGCCACUAUGAGUUGGCAAUGGGUGACAUUAUUUUAGAUGAUAUAAAUGUAAGUAUUUGAUUGCCAUAGUA
Non-coding RNA from Theobroma cacao (cacao), 473 nucleotides. The record is from RefSeq and is a predicted model, not a curated record. NCBI's taxonomy places the organism in Eukaryota, Viridiplantae, Streptophyta, Magnoliopsida, Malvales, Malvaceae.